UUUUGGAAACGAAAGAUAAUACCGCAUGUAGAUCUUAUUAUCACAUGAGAAAAGAUCAAAAGAACCGUUUGGUUCACUAUGAGAUGGGGAUGCGGCGUAUUAGCUAGUAGGUGAGAUAAUAGCCCACCUAGGCGAUGAUACGUAGCCGAACUGAGAGGUUGAUCGGCCACAUUGGGACUGAGAUACGGCCCAGACUCCUACGGGAGGCAGCAGUAGGGAAUUUUUCACAAUGGACGAAAGUCUGAUGAAGCAAUGCCGCGUGAGUGAUGACGGCCUUCGGGUUGUAAAGCUCUGUUGUAAGGGAAGAAAAAAUAAAGUAGGAAAUGACUUUAUCUUGACAGUACCUUACCAGAAAGCCACGG
This 362-nucleotide ribosomal RNA is filed under the name uncultured Mycoplasma sp. RNAcentral describes it as "bacterial SSU rRNA". It matches the Rfam family "Bacterial small subunit ribosomal RNA", at positions 148 to 496 of the family's 1533-position model. The record is from RNAcentral. Lineage: Bacteria; Bacillati; Mycoplasmatota; Mollicutes; Mycoplasmatales; Mycoplasmataceae.